RNAcentral lists this ribosomal RNA (403 nucleotides) under uncultured bacterium. RNAcentral describes it as "partial 16S ribosomal RNA". It matches the Rfam family "Bacterial small subunit ribosomal RNA", at positions 30 to 526 of the family's 1533-position model. The record is from RNAcentral.
AUUGAACGCUGGCGGCAGGCCUAACACAUGCAAGUCGAGCGAGCGGCGGACGGGUGAGUAAUGUAUGGGGACUUCCCGAUAGAUGGGGAUACCUACUGGAAACGGUGGCUCAUACCGCAUACUCUCGGCUAACCCAUAUGUGAUUAGCUAGUAGGUGGGGUAAAGGCUAACCUAGGCGACGAUCUCUAGCUGGUCUGAGAGGAUGAUCAGCCACACUGGAACGGAGAAACGGCCCAGACUCCGACGGAGGCAGCAGUGGGGAAUAUUGCACAAUGGGCGCAAGCCUGAUGCAGCCAUGCCGCGUGUAUGAAGAAGGCCUUAGGGUUGUAAAGUACUUUCAGCGGGGAGGCGUUACCCGCAGAAGAAGCACCGGCUAACUCCGUGCCAGCAGCCGCGGUAAUAC